AUUGAACGCUGGCGGCAUGCUUUACACAUGCAAGUCGAACGGCAGCGCGGGCUUCGGCCUGGCGGCGAGUGGCGAACGGGUGAGUAAUACAUCGGAACGUGCCCAGUAGUGGGGGAUAGCUCGGCGAAAUCCGGAUUAAUACCGCAUACGACCUGAGGGUGAAAGCGGGGGAUCUUCGGACCUCGCGCUAUUGGAGCGGCCGAUGGCAGAUUAGCUAGUUGGUGGGGUAAAGGCCUACCAAGGCGACGAUCUGUAGCUGGUCUGAGAGGACGACCAGCCACACUGGGACUGAGACACGGCCCAGACUCCUACGGGAGGCAGCAGUGGGGAAUUUUGGACAAUGGGCGAAAGCCUGAUCCAGCAAUGCCGCGUGUGUGAUGAAGGCCUUCGGGUUGUAAAGCACUUUUGGCGGGAACGAAAAGGACUGUGCCAAUACCACGGUUCGAUGACGGUACCCGCAGAAUAAGCACCGGCUAACUACGUG
This 484-nucleotide ribosomal RNA is filed under the name uncultured bacterium. Its description in RNAcentral is "partial 16S ribosomal RNA". It matches the Rfam family "Bacterial small subunit ribosomal RNA", at positions 29 to 507 of the family's 1533-position model. The record is from RNAcentral.